CUGUCUCUCUGUCUCUCUCUCUCUCCUCUGUAGCUUUUUUUUUUCUUGCACUUCAAGGCUUUUUUUGGUACUCUGCAAUGGAGGCGAAGCUAAUGAAAGCUUCCUCGCCAGUAUUUCCACCUCCUCAUACAUCCAGAUUUUUUAGGACAAGUUGCUGCUUCGUUCCCAGAACCAGAAAAGAUCCUUCUACGUUAACGCCGCUAAGCUUGGCAAAGAGACGCAUUGUAUCAAUGCAAGCAUUUGCGUCUUCAAUUGGGUUGGAAAAGAAGAAAAGG
This 275-nucleotide unclassified non-coding RNA is filed under the name Hevea brasiliensis (rubber tree). The record is from RNAcentral. Lineage: Eukaryota; Viridiplantae; Streptophyta; Magnoliopsida; Malpighiales; Euphorbiaceae.